This is a long non-coding RNA of Triticum dicoccoides, 839 nucleotides long. RefSeq lists it as uncharacterized. The transcript is spliced from 3 exons. Lineage: Eukaryota; Viridiplantae; Streptophyta; Magnoliopsida; Poales; Poaceae. The record is from RefSeq and is a predicted model, not a curated record.
CUUUGCUCUCGCUCGCUGUGUUCCGCUGCCGAACUCCCUCUCUUUGCUUCGCUCUCCCCCUCUCUACUCUGGCACCGAGCUCCCCUCGCCUCAUCGCUGCGCUCCACUCGGCUCAUCACGCUCAUCCCCUCCACAUUCCCUCGGCUCGUCACACAUCCCUUGGACCAAAAUAUUUGACCUUUUGGUCCAAGCUGGCGACAAAUUGACGGAUCCGGCGUCGGCGAGGCCGGAUCCGGUGGCAGCGAGGCCGGACACGCCGGAUCUGCUGGCUGUCAGGCAGGAUGCCCCCCACCCCCAUCCCCGACGCAUUCUCAGGCAAGGAGGGAGGGUCAACACCAACACCGUUGAAUCCGCUGGCGCCAAAAGAAGGGGCUAAGUUUCUCUGUCCAUCAUCGUUCAGGGUGACGAGAUGAGCGCUGAUCGUGAGAGCUGUGCUUUUUGGUGGGAUUUCAAGAACACAUGGGUGAGGAGAAGAAGCAAUUCUCUGCUAUAGCUAAGGGUGAUUUCAAGAACAACAUCACAAAAAAGGGAGAGCCAUUGGCACACUACCGCAAUUGUUGCCACGUCUCAGACUUCGCUCAGCCUCAAUGCCAACACCGACAUCUUCCGCGGGUUCCGCUUACCUCCUCGGCUAAAGAUCACACUCACAAUGUAGCAGUUCAACCGGACAAGGACCCAAAACUAGGUGAGUCAAGCGGACAUGACCCAAACUAGGUGAGAACUAGGUAAGUUAGAUGGUUCGUCUAAUUGCCAAACAUUGACGCGUAAACUUAUUGGUAUAUGCUACUGUUCAAUUGUAUUUUAUUCAUCUUUUGUAUAUUGUACUCCCUCCGUCCGAA